Molecule: long non-coding RNA, 718 nt
Organism: Selaginella moellendorffii
Lineage: Eukaryota; Viridiplantae; Streptophyta; Lycopodiopsida; Selaginellales; Selaginellaceae
Exons: 4
Source: RefSeq, a predicted model, not a curated record
CCUGGCCUCCGUGAGCAUCGAUCUCAGGUUUGCUCCUUGUUUUUCUUCUUUAUGUUCCUGCGGUCAAUAGGAAUUUUGUCACAGGGAGCUGACAUGAUGAGAAUUCGAUUCAUGGUCUGGAGAGAGGUCCUCACGCCUUUGUGGAAGGCUUGGCCUGCAUGAUUCGUGCCUUAAUCUCCGAAAGCUCUGCGACUCAAAAGCUGGUGUAUGAUGCGUCGUGUCGAAUUACCGAGAGCAUAACGAUGCUUGGAAUCAUUCAGGAGCAGCUUGCAGUACUGCUGACUCAGGGCUGCUUCGACAAGUGUCUACGAUGCAACUCAAAGAAAUUACGCUUUACCUCCUAAUGUUUACUACGACGUGAAGGCCCGCCUGUAUGUCACUUAAGUACCAAAAGAAAUCAUGUCCAAACGAGAUUGGAUGGACGAAGAAAUUGAGAUGGGUCGUUUGGUGCUUACGUGCAAAUCUCAGCAACAUCAAAGAGUGCAUGUAAGAACUUGUACUUUCUGACUAGCUUAAGUGACUGCAGUUGCCUUUGUAUGAGAGGCCCAAUAAGAAUACCCGGCUGGCUGGUAGUGACGACUUUGAACUGGAUCCGACAAGGUGCAGAGGCCAUAAAAGAUUUCUACCAAGAGCACGUUGAGGAACUGGGAUGACCUCUUCGAAACAUUUCGAAAGCGUCAGCAGAAGUAGGAGACGUUCGAUUAACUGCAGAAUCUUU